ACGGCCGCGGUACCCUAACCGUGCGAAGGUAGCAUAAUCACUUGUUCUUUAAAUGGGGACUCGUAUCAACGGCAUCACGAGGAUCUUACUGUCUCCCCCCUCCAAUCAGUGAAACUGAUCUCUCCGUGAAGAAGCGGGGAUACCCAUAUAAGACGAGAAGACCCCAUGGAGCUUUAAACCCGAUGACACCCAUUUACCUCUACACCCUGAUAUUUUAUCUGGCCGCUGUUCACUCGGUUUUAGGUUGGGGUGACCGCGGAGUACAACUUACCCUCCGUGAAAAAGGGACACUAGUCCUUAUCAAAGAGCAACACCUCUAAGAAUCAAUAAAUUGAUUUACAAUGAUCCGAUAUUCGAUCAACGAACCAAGUUACCCUGGGGAUAACAGCGCAAUCCACCUCAAGAGCCCCUAUCGACAGGCGGGUUUACGACCUCGAUGUUGGAUCAGGGCAUCCCAGUGGUGCAGCAGCUACUAAUGGUUCGUUUGUUCAACGAUUAAAGCCCU
Molecule: ribosomal RNA, 505 nt
Filed under: Boophis vittatus
Lineage: Eukaryota; Metazoa; Chordata; Amphibia; Anura; Mantellidae
Description: partial 16S ribosomal RNA
Rfam family: Bacterial large subunit ribosomal RNA
Source: RNAcentral